RNAcentral lists this long non-coding RNA (247 nucleotides) under Setaria italica (foxtail millet). Its description in RNAcentral is "long non-coding RNA (SITA_LNC004931)". The record is from RNAcentral. Lineage: Eukaryota; Viridiplantae; Streptophyta; Magnoliopsida; Poales; Poaceae.
UACCAGGACAACUCGCCAUUGUCAUACUGUAACACCUCAUCAUUAGGUACCUUAACUGUAAUAUAUGUUUUUGGAGUCAGGAGAUUAGGUACAUAAGUACACUCUCAAACAUGUGCCCACUUGCCAAAUCCAUUGUGCUGGUGAGUAACAAGUCGUUGAUCAGAUUUAAUCUUGUCGCAGCCCUAACAAUGCCAGCCAGGAGUAAGUGGAUGAUGUCUCAUGGAUAUAAAUCAUACCUACAUCUAUA